CUAAUCAUGGAGAGUAGCAACCUAGAACUAAGGAGAAAUUUCCUAAUGCUUUGCACUCAAUGACUCGCCUCAAAGAAAUAAGUAGAAAGACCGAUAUUAUGAAAAACACAGAGACUUAAGGCUCUUGAGAAGAUGGGGUAAUUUACAGAU
This is a non-coding RNA of Notechis scutatus (mainland tiger snake), 150 nucleotides long. The record is from RefSeq and is a predicted model, not a curated record. NCBI's taxonomy places the organism in Eukaryota, Metazoa, Chordata, Lepidosauria, Squamata, Elapidae.